GGAGAUAUAGUUUAAACGGAUAAAAUACACCCCUGUCACGGGUAUGUUCCGGGUUCGAUGCCCGGUAUCUCCG
RNAcentral lists this transfer RNA (73 nucleotides) under Cronobacter phage vB_CsaM_GAP31. It matches the Rfam family "tRNA". Rfam says of the family: Transfer RNA (tRNA) molecules are approximately 80 nucleotides in length. RNAcentral also lists the same sequence under 2 other names. Lineage: Duplodnaviria; Heunggongvirae; Uroviricota; Caudoviricetes. The record is from Rfam by way of RNAcentral.